ACACACUGGGGCUGUUUAUGUAUACAGCUGUCUCUACAACUUGUCUCAGUUUUAGCAGGUUCAUGGUCCAACUGGAAUUAUGAAAAAGAGUGUCUCAAUAAAUUAGAAUGAAGAAUGGAAGAGAAGUCAAUCAUUGAUUUCUCCAACCGUCACCAGUGGAAACUAAAGGAGAUGUUUCCCAUCAUCCAACACUAUGGAGAUGUGCUGGUGAAAAAUAUGAAUCUUCAACUAGAGAAAGGCAAGCCCGUUACCAUGAGA
Molecule: long non-coding RNA, 258 nt
Organism: Grammomys surdaster
Lineage: Eukaryota; Metazoa; Chordata; Mammalia; Rodentia; Muridae
Exons: 3
Source: RefSeq, a predicted model, not a curated record